This is a non-coding RNA of Ictidomys tridecemlineatus (thirteen-lined ground squirrel), 73 nucleotides long. NCBI's taxonomy places the organism in Eukaryota, Metazoa, Chordata, Mammalia, Rodentia, Sciuridae. The record is from Rfam.
GGGGAUAUAGCUCAGCUGGUAGAGUGCUUGACUAGCAUGCACAAGACCCUGGGUUCAAUGCCCAGCACCACCA